This 251-nucleotide ribosomal RNA is filed under the name uncultured prokaryote. RNAcentral describes it as "partial 16S rRNA". It matches the Rfam family "Bacterial small subunit ribosomal RNA", at positions 525 to 775 of the family's 1533-position model. The record is from RNAcentral.
ACGGGGGGUGCAAGCGUUGUUCGGAAUCAUUGGGCGUAAAGAGCGUGUAGGCGGCUAGGCAAGUCAGAUGUGAAAUCCCUGGGCUUAACCCAGGACGUGCAUUUGAAACUGCCCAGCUUGAGUAAGGAAGAGGUAAGUGGAGUUCCUGGUGUAGAGGUGAAAUUCUUAAAUAUCAGGAGGAACACCGGUGGCGAAGGCGCCUUCCUGGUCCUAUACUGACGCUGAGUAACGAAAGCGUGGGGAGCAAACAG